Molecule: ribosomal RNA, 253 nt
Filed under: uncultured bacterium
Lineage: Bacteria
Description: partial 16S ribosomal RNA
Rfam family: Bacterial small subunit ribosomal RNA
Source: RNAcentral
UACGUAGGGUGCAAGCGUUGUCCGGAAUUAUUGGGCGUAAAGAGCUCGUAGGCGGUUUGUCGCGUCUGCCGUGAAAGUCCGGGGCUCAACUCCGGAUCUGCGGUGGGUACGGGCAGACUAGAGUGAUGUAGGGGAGACUGGAAUUCCUGGUGUAGCGGUGGAAUGCGCAGAUAUCAGGAGGAACACCGGUGGCGAAGGCGGGAUCCUGGGCCAGUACUGACGCUGAGGAGCGAAAGCGUGGGGAGCAAACAGG